GACAAAAAAAAAAAAAAAAAAAAAAAAAGAAGAAAAAGAAAAAGCCCAGGUCAGAGCUGAUUGCUCCCACCUGGAGAGACUGCCUGCCUACAUCCCAACUCAGAAAGACCCCUGGAUCUAUCCCCGUGCUCCUGCAGCACCUCCCAGCCAGAGCAACCUCCUACCAGAUUGCCUGCCUCCAUCCUUGUGCAACAAAGCCUGCUGGCUCUAUCCCAGUGCCCAUGCCACGCUUCUCAGCCUGCACCUCCAAAUCCUUGUGUGUAGGCAAGGACCGAGGAAGAGACAGCGCAGAGCAGAGGAACCCAACUUUUUGGUGAACUGUGACUGGGAUCAUCAUCACCCUCCCACGAAGACCCACUUAAGUCUAGUUCCCAUGUUGUAAAGAAGUUAAGGCCUUUCUUCUGCAAAGAGAGACCUUGUUGAAAAGCCCUGGAGGCUAAGGAAUCAUGCUGAUAGAGACCCAGUGGAGGAGAAUAGUCACCCUCAUCAGCCGUUGGCACUAAGGCUCCAGUUUCCACAUCCUUUCUAAUUCUGCCCUGUGCUCUUGAAGGCUGGCAUCUACAGAAUAUCUAGCUAAACUUUGCCCUCUGCCUUCCUAGUGGAAUUGAUCUCAGGGAACACAUCAGUGGAAGAGAAGUCAACAAUGAAGGAGGUGAGAGUAUGUAUUAUCUUGGUUUUCUCUUCGCCAGGUUAGUGAAUCUCUUUAUUGUUUCCACAUCCAGGGUAGCCACCCUCUCCCAACAGUUCUCACUGUUUUGGUUCUGAUAGCUGCUUCCUGUUCUUGCCCACUUACUCCUAGAGGUCAGAAGGCUUCAGCUCUUGCGGCCCAGGAACCUGCAUUGACUCUGGGUCCUUUUCUCAAUUUACCCUUGGGAAGACCACCUUUAUUAAAGUCGCUUGAAUUACCCGGUUUGAGUGUGCCAUCUGUUUUCUGUCUAGAUUCUCACCAACACAUAUAUCCAAUUCUGAAUUGUAGAGUAAGUGGCCAUAUCUGAGGCAUGUGAAAAUGUUAAGUGCUUCAGAGAGAUGAAUUGCAUGGUUGUUGAAAUUCUUUAGUGUGUUCAGGGUAGUAGUUGAAGUGCUUGUUUUAUGUGUAAUCGUUUUGAAGAUGUGAGUGUUUGUCAUCCUCAGUAAUACAAUUUUUUAAAAAGUGUUAAAAUGUAUAGUGCCUUUUGGAAACAUAAGGUCAGAUUAGCAUUCAUUUGGAUUUCACAAGGUAACUGAACACAGAUUUGAAUUGUAAAGUAGCUGUAAUUAUCUUUUUAACAGACACAGUAACUCUUCUUGGCAACCAGCACUGUAAUUAUAGACAUUGUGUUCAGUACAAACUUCCAUGUUUUUGACAGGCUAGAAGAUGAAAAGAUACACAAGGACUUCCUGUUGUUAGUCUCACUUUUUGUCUCUUCACAUCUCUUUACAUCUGAAACUGUGACCCAAAUGGGAGUUACACUUCAUUAUUCAUGACAUAUUGUCCUCUUUAGAGGAAUAAAGAAACUAUGCCUUCAUGGAAGAAAGCUG
Molecule: non-coding RNA, 1518 nt
Organism: Sus scrofa (pig)
Lineage: Eukaryota; Metazoa; Chordata; Mammalia; Artiodactyla; Suidae
Source: RefSeq, a predicted model, not a curated record